Molecule: ribosomal RNA, 114 nt
Filed under: Coxiella endosymbiont of Amblyomma americanum
Lineage: Bacteria; Pseudomonadati; Pseudomonadota; Gammaproteobacteria; Legionellales; Coxiellaceae
Also listed under: 1 other name
Source: RNAcentral
CCCGGUGGUUUAGCAAGUGGGACCCACCUGAUUCCAUUUCGAACUCAGAAGUGAAAACGCUUAGCGCUGAUGAUAGUAUGAUUGUUUUCAUGCGAAAGUAAGUCACCACCGGGA